UGAAGCGGCAAGAGCUCAGAUUUGAAAUCUCACCUAGUGUGCGAGUUGUAAAUUGCAGGUUGGAGUCUCGGGUUAGACGUGUGUCAAGUCCCUUGGAACAGGGUGCCACUGAGGGUGAGAGCCCCGUAAUCGUGCAUGUCGACACCUGUGAGGCCCUUCUGACGAGUCGAGUUGUUUGGGAAUGCAGCUCUAAGUGGGUGGUAAAUUCCAUCUAAGGCUAAAUAUUGGCGAGAGACCGAUAGCGAACAAGUACUGUGAAGGAAAGAUGAAAAGCACUUUGAAAAGAGAGUGAAACAGCACGUGAAAUAGUUGAAAGGGAAGGGUAUAGGGCUCGACAUGGGAUUUACGCAUCGUUGCCUCUCGUGGGCGGCGCUCUGGGUUUUUCCUGGGCCAGCAUCGGUUUUCGUUGCAGGAUAAGGACAAUUGGAAUGUGGCUCCUCGGAGUGUUAUAGCCUUUUGUAGAUGCUGCGUAUGGGGACCGAGGGCUGCGGACUCGUUUCUCUC
Molecule: ribosomal RNA, 504 nt
Filed under: Pichia kluyveri
Lineage: Eukaryota; Fungi; Ascomycota; Pichiomycetes; Pichiales; Pichiaceae
Description: eukaryotic LSU rRNA
Rfam family: Eukaryotic large subunit ribosomal RNA
Source: RNAcentral